Molecule: long non-coding RNA, 24704 nt
Filed under: Daucus carota (carrot)
Lineage: Eukaryota; Viridiplantae; Streptophyta; Magnoliopsida; Apiales; Apiaceae
Description: long non-coding RNA (DCAR_LNC002537)
Source: RNAcentral
GUCCAAGCACUUCAAUCCGCUAGCAGUUGUACCGUGAAACAUGCUCACAUUUGUGUCUACGCCAACAGGGACGAUAUCGUCAGUCAGUUCUGUGAACAAAGGACUUAGCCUUAGCAAGUAAGGUUCUCUACAAGUAGUUCCUUCAGGGCAAACAAACAAAUCCCCUUGAUUCAAUAACUUAUCCAUCAUUUCCCUGUCCUUGUCUCUGUUUCUCGUUAAUCGGACAGUUCUGAUUGGUGAUAAAAACUCUGACAUUCUACUAAGGCUGUAUGUUACUGCAGCCAAAGGUUUCACGAGGCCGAAUGACAGAAAUAAAGGAUCCAAUAAUGUUCUGUGGUUACACACAUAGAGUGAGCCUUUGGUUUGUGACUGAGAAUUUGGUGAAGCUAAGUGGUGGUUGGGUCUUGAAAGCUCAAGUUUAAUUCCUGAGUAGGCUAAGAGAGGAGUGGAGAUAGUGUACGGUAGGGAAAUGGCAAUACAUAUUCGAAUUAUUGAAAUAAUUGAGCCCAAGGGAAGCCAUAUGAACAUGGCAAGCAUGGCAAGUGGGCUUGGCUUGAAAGCUAACCUACCAUCAUGGAAGAUUAAUGGUUUUGGAUAUCUGUCCUUGCUCAGUAUAUUCCAUUUCAGCUUCUCAGCUUCACUCACCAUCACAACCUCCUGUGUCAGAUGUUGUAAUCAUUGUUAGUACUUGCAUAAAAAGUUAGAUUUCACUGUAUACCCAAUAAAGGGCUCCCUCGUACUAUAGUGUCUGAUCCACAGAUCCCCGAUUUAUCAAAAAAUCCCUAAUUAAUCACCUAUUAAUUUUUAAAAAAAUUUACCGAUACACCGAUUAUAUUCUGAUUUGACUCAAACUCUCCGAUUAUCGAAAAAAUCUCCGAUAUAUCCCUAAUAAAUCUUGAAUCGAUAGGUCAACCGAUUAGUUUCCGAAUUUUUCUACCAUGACUAUGGUCCCGGAAGACCUUCAAAAAUCAGUUGUCAAACUUUGAUUUUAAGUCAAAAAUUUGGAAAAAAAUAUAUAUUUUUCUUAGUUUCAAUUGGUGUCUAAAUUUAGCUGUAAUAAUUUUAAACUCCGACUGUUUCGUAGUACUGGAUGUGUGCAUAUGUAUAUAAAUCACAUAAGAUAUCAGUUAAUUAAAGUACCUUGCAAUGAGAGAACAAUGGAUGCUGAAGAGAUGUAUCCAUAUUAUCAAGUCCGAUAACAUUUUUGAAGAUAUUUGCAUCAUCAAAUUUAUCUUCCAAACUCGUCGAGUUCUUCUUUUCUUCCAUUAGACCCACAUAGUAACCACAAACCACUUUCAAAUCUCUCCCCGAAACAAAAUCAAUCUCCAAAUAAUCACUCAAAAAACAUUCCACCAUUACUUGAGGCAUAUCAGUGACUGCAUAGCUUGAUCUGGCUCUCUUCACCACCUCAAAAGCUUCAUCACCAACAUCCUCCAAGAAAUACUUUGGUAGCACCGAACUCCCCACCCGAAAGCUACUUUUCUUGAUCCCGAAAAACGAAACCAUCACCAUAACGUUCACCGAAUCUUCAUGGCUAAGCAAACAAAGAAGAGGGUAAAGUAGUAGUAAAACAAAAGCCCUCACAAGACUGCCAGCUUCGAAAGCAACCAGCAUGAAGUACGAGAACAGAGACGAAGAUUUCAACAAGGCUCCUUCGACAUUAAAGAUCACUGCAUUCUCAGACCACUUCACUCUUUCAGACAAAGUGGUCUGGCAAUGUUGUUUGUGUUGUGUCUCAGGUGCAACAGAAUGAGCAUUACUUAAGCUCCUCUGCAGACCCUUCUGGUCUCGAUAAUGCUUUCGAAUGAGACGACAUAUAAAGAGGAUGAGCCGAGGAGGCUUAGAGAAAAUCAUUUCUGUUUUGGAGAAGAAGAAUGUGUUAAUUAAGCUGAUACAGAACAAAGUGUGAAGGCUCUAAUAUAUAUUAGUGUAGAUGAAGAUAAGCCCUUGGCUGGGGGAAAACUAGUCAAUCAACAAUGCGCGGUAGCUGGAAAUUUGCUGGAACAUGUCAACCAACAAAUGUGGAAAUAAUUCGAUAUUUUGUUGAUUUAGAAAAAUUUGUCCUGCUGCUACUUAAAUGACCAUGACCUACAUAGCUGAGUGGUCGUAUUUUAUACAAUCAGGGUUCUUCUGUAUAUGCUCAAGAAGAGAAUCGAAUUCCUUUUUAACUAUAUAUUUAAAUCAUAAUAAUUCAUUAGAUAUGUAUCAGUUAACUUAUAACUUAAUUUCUGACGCUUUAAAUUUAUUACUUGAACAAAAAUCAUAAAUUGACAAUUUACGACAGAAUAAAGUCUAAAAUUCCGUCAUAAAAAGACAUGUUUGUCGUAGUAUGCUAAGGUUCUCGACUUAAAUUUCAGUUGCGAGAGAAAAAUAUGUCAAUUGUAUAUAUAUUUUUGUUUUUUCUUGACUGAUUCCAGUUGUAUAUUGAUUUCAUGAAGUUAUUAAGAUAAAAAUUUGCCUGGUUUAGUUUGUUUUGUUUUUUAGGUAUACUUCCUGUAUUUAUUUUCUCUUCUUUUUAGUUAUGUUUUCAAGAGUUCUUGGAGAAUACGUAAGAGCAUGCAGAAAAAUCCAUUCUCAUAUGAUCAUGACAUAUACAGGGGCGGCAUACUCGAUGUAUGAUGUAUAAACACAUUAAUCAUGUUCCAACGCCGUUUCGUCAAUUAAUUAAAACGUUACUCCCUCCGGCUCUAAAUACUUUUCCUGUUUGUACUUUUCACGUUUGCCAACACACACUUUUGAUCGUUCAUAUCUUUCAUUUCGUAGUAGCAUUAAAUAUAAAAACUUCACCGUAUUAAAGUAAAUACGAAUCUAACAAGAGACUCAUGACUAUAUUUAAUUUUAUAGAUUAGAUGUAAAUUAGUAAUUUGUCUCAUGUUAUGAACAGUACCGAUAUCACAAACAGGAAAAGAAAAAAGAAACGGAGGGAGUAACGGAUUGCAUAAUAUAUUAAGGUCAACACGGGUUAAUUUAUUCCUUUAUAUUUUAUAUAUAUCGAUUUUUUUGACACAUAUCUUCAUCAUAUAUUUAGAAUAUUAAAUUAAAAUUUUAAUUUUAAAACAAAAGUAUAUAAAUAAUUUUUUUUAAUAAAUAAUAGUAAUCAUAAGUAGUACUUGUAAUCAAGUAAAAAAAUAUAAAAUUAAAAUAUAAGAUAAAAAAUAAAUAUAUUUUUAAAGGAUGUGCAUAAAACAAAUUAUAAAUUACUAUAAUAAAUUGAAUAAUCAGCUAAUUAAGAGGAUCCUUCAGAUUAAAUAUCUAUGAUCUCUAGUCCGAUUAGAUUUAUAUCGAUUAUGUUUUGAAUGUUUUUCAAAACUUCGACUUUUAAAUAACCGUAGUUUCAUAAUUGUCUAGCUACUUGUCCUUGUAGUAUGUAUUAAUAUAGUCCAAAGUUUGGACUUAAAAAUGACGUUAAUUAUAUUUUAUUCAACGUGAACACUGAACUGUGAGUGUCGUGUUAUAAGAUAUCUUCUUGUAAGUAGCGAUUCAACUCGUCGAUUUUAGUUUAUUUUUUCAACCAGUAAAAUCGCCAGCUGAUGCGCAAGGAUAAAUCGUGUUUGUUGUUGAUCAUGCGACUCAUGUGACCAUGUCGUCACUAUUUAUUAACAAACGAAAACCAUGCCCUAAUAAUGUAUUAGAUCACAUUCGAAGAAUUUUAUUAUGGGUUUGGCUAGUGUGUGCUCAUGGGCACAUGCUAAGCAAUAACAUUUAUAAAAUUGGAGAGUUUUGAUUGGUGUGGUUGUUGCAACUGCAAGGGGAUCCACCAUUAUUAAAGAAGCUAAGCCAAUAGAAACCAUCCAAAUUCAUAAAUUUUGGUGCUUAGUGUGUGCCCAUGAGCACACCAUAGGAAAACCGUUUUAUUAUUAGCGGAUGAAGGAUCAAGGAAGAUUCAAUGAUUAAGAUACAUGCAGAAUAUGAACACACGAAAGCUGAGUUUACUUACAUUAAAUGAAGGUGGAACUUAAGAAUUUGAAGAUAAUCUGUGGGCGCUGGUUAGAUUAAUCAAAGCUUGUUAUUUCAACGCUUGCAAUUAAUGGCGCUAUUAGAGAUUGGUACAGCCACCUUUUCAACUGGUAAACUUCUAGAUUAUCGUAGUACUACUCCAAGAAAAGGUCUAUAUAAGACGCAUUCGACCAAACCAACAGUUUGAUAAAGCGUUCGGGCUCAGUACGGCUCCACAGAGAUACAAUCUCUGCGGUUUUUUACGUUAUUUUUGACCCGAAACUUUUAUAAAAUCUGAUUAUAAAAAAAUUAAGCUCGUAGAUAUUCCCACUUAAAAUGCUUAGUCAUUUUUAAUUUUAAAGUAGAAAAAAUAUGCGUGAUAAAGUAGUUAAAAUUAGAAAUAAACCAAAAAUUGACUUAAAAUUUAAAGUUAAUUUGAAUUAUUUUUUUCAAUGACAUAAUUUUUUGGACUUUUUUUUAUAAAAAUUAUCAUCAAUGAUAGGUGAUCUGUAAAACACUUUUAAUUUUAUUAUUAUAUUUUUAAUAACUCAUAAAUUGUUAAUAAAUCAAAAUUAUUCAAACAAAUAUUUUAAAUUCCGAAUUUAUUAUAUUAAAUCAUGUUAAGUUAUAAGUCAUUUUAAACUAGCCAAAUAACGUCCUAGUUAACAGACUGAAACACUCUCAAAAAUUAAAAAAAAAAUUACUAAUAUAAAUGAACAAUACUAUGUGCAAAUAUGUGUGCAGUAUAAAUGAUGAAAAUUGAUUGACGGUUUUUAUGCUAGUGUGUGCUUAUGGGCAUGGGCCCUAAUAGUUACUCCCUCUGAUUUCUAUGCACUUUCUUUUUUUGGAAGUCCUACUUAAUUCUAUACAUUUCAAAAUUUUCCUAAAGUGGUAACCUUUUAUAUCUUAAAUAUUUUCCCAAAUUUCUAUUAUAUUUUCUUAUUAUUUUUUAAAUAUUAUCUGAUAUUAAUUGUCAGUUAUUUCCUGGCGAGAGUUAUUUUAUUAUGUAUUAUGCUAUUAGAUAUCUAACCAAAGAGAUCUUAUUAUCUCUUUGGUGUAGAUUUCUAAUGAUUUGUUUUUACAUUAAUUUUUAAUUUUUACUUUUCUUAUUCUUUCAAAAUUAUAUAAUUAUAUCUUUAUCUUUUUAAUUAUGAGUUUGCCGACUCUUUCCUUUAUCGUUUUAGAAAGUUUUAUUACUUUCUUGUUUGUAUGAACUUAUUAGGUCUACUCUUGUAUUGUAUUUUUUCAGGAUAUGCGAGUGGAGGGAUAAAUGCAAGCGGAACCUCUUAUGGUGUUUUCUUAUCGAACAUUAAAGCUUUAUUGUCUAAGUAUACUCGGUUAUCUCUGCAUGUCCGAGGGUUAGAUGGUAAAUUUUCUUGAACGAAAAGAACUCCUGCCAGCAGCUAUCCAAUUCUGGAAAUUUCUUUAUACGAGGAAGUAUCUUGUGACCAAAAAAAAAAAAAAAUCCCAACCACUCACUACUUUCAUCCACUUUUACAAAUCUAUCAAUUAUAUAUUGAUGGGUCCCACCACUUUACUCACUUUUUUUUCUCUUACUUUAUAUUACUUUAUACACUUUUCUUAAUCUUCGUGUUCAAUCCAAACGUAUACAUAUCAAAAGGACGGAGGGAGUAGUAGAUAAUUAAAAUGAGUUAAAUACUAGAUUUUGUUGGGCGCAACUAGGGGUGGCAAUAUUGGACCCGACCUGACAACCCGACACGAAUUCUACCCGCAAAAUACGAAUUCGGGUUGGAGUUUUUCGGGUUCGGAUCAAAUUUUGGUUGACCCAAAAUCAACCCAGAAAAAAACGGGUCAUUUUCGGGUUGAAUUCGGGUUACCGAAAUUGACCCGAAAUUACCCGAAAAUUAAUAUAUAAUAUAAGUAUUAUAUAUAUAUUUAUAUUAUUUAUAUUAUUUUUAUAAUAUUUAUUAGUUAAAUUUAAUAUAAAAUUAUUUAAUUUAAUAAAAUUUAAUUUAUUUGGAUUAAAAUAAUAUUUAUUUAUUAUUUAAAAAAUAUUUUUAUUAAUAAAUAUUAAUUUUCGUGUCGGGCUCGGGUUACCCGGGGUAGUGCGGGUCGGUUUGGGUUGAUAUUUUGACCCAUUAAAAUUUUGGGUCAGGUUCGGGUUGGGUAAAUUUUUUGACCCGCGACUGUCAACCAACCCGAACCCGACCCGAAACCCGAAAGUGUUAGCCCUAGGCGCAACAUAGAAAAAUCAUUUAGAAAUAAUAAUCUGACGAAUAAGCCAGGUAAUAAAGCAAUCAUUAUUAUUUUUUAGUUUUUACUCCUGCGAGGAAAAGUUUUCUAAAAGUAGACAAUAAUCAGUUUCCAAAAAAAAAAGAAGACAAUAAUCAUCUUUAAUCGCUGGAUCGACGAAAAUCAUCUUCAAUCUCAUAAUUAUAUGUAAACAUUCAAAUUCAAGCUGUUAAGACAUUAUUCAGGUUCGAGUUGUUAUAUAUAUCGUUGAACUUGAAAUCAAUAUUCGGCUGGCCACAUUAUAGCCCCUAUAAAUACGAUGUGUACAAAUCGAUAAAAUUUUUAUUACAAAUAAACCCAGGCCAGACACUUGUUUCGCUUUUAAGUGUGGGAGAUCAAAGAAAAGAUGGCAACAACUAAGAUUUACUAUAUUUUAUUCUUAUCGGAUGCACCCAUUUUUUAUGCAUUGAAUUUUAAAGACAGCUCAUCAACUAUAAAUAUAAUUCCAUAUUUUUAAAUUGCACAUAACAAUUGAAAAUUGUAUCAAGAAAAAACACAAUCGAAUUUGUGAUAUUUUCCAUGCCUACCUGACUUUUGUUGUUGGAUAAUAAUUGCAGCAGAUUUUAAUCUAUUUUUUUAGAUGAUUUUCAAUCGAUGUUGGUUGAUGGUCAUCAGCCUGUAAUAAAUGGAAAUUUAUAAAUACUAGUACUACGUAACAUGCAGGGGAGAUGAUUAGAAUUUUGCAUUGGAAUGCAUGGAAAAAAACAUGAUAUUUUAGUUGAUGAAUAAAUUAAAUUCGUAACCGAUUAAAUAAUUCGAUAUACCAAAAAGAUUGUUUCUUUUUGUUGAGCAGCUUUUCCGCAACUCAAGUUGUGAAAAUAUUAACGAAAUUAUAUUCGGGACCUAUGUGGUCAAGAUUAAAAAUUAAAUUAUAAUUAAAAUAAUAGUUUAUUGCGUGGAAUAUAAGUGAGAAGUUAAUUUAGAUUCGUAAAUUAUUAUAAAUAUGAAUACAAUGAUUUAUAAAUUAUUUAGAUGUUUGGUAUAUUGAUAUUUAAGUUAGUAUAGUUUUAAAAUUUUCUAUAUAAUUUUGUUUUACUUUUAGAUUAAGUUAUAAUAAUAUAAAAGCUUAUAUUAAUAUAUGAAAUAGUUUACAAACACCAAAUGUAAAAACUAUACUAACUUAUGAAAAAGCUGUUAAAGCUGGGACUUAAAGCUGUUUCCAGCUUUAAGCUGCAAAAUGUCUGUUUGUGCAAUAAGUCAGAAGCCGGUUUAAAGUCAUAAAUAAGCCACAAGCUGAUUUAAAAUCAAAAGUUAGUUUGAGGUACUUUUUUCAGUGACUUAAUUUUUUAAAACUUUUUCUUUGAUAAAAAUUACCCACAAGUCAUAAGUUAUUCAUAAAUCGCUUAUAUUUUUAUUUUUAUAUUUUUAAUAACUCAUAAGUCAUUUAUAAGUCAAAAUUAUUGACAUUUUAAACUGUCAGCUUAUCAGAUAAGUCACGUUAAGUCAUGAGCGUAAUAAGUCAUAAACUCAGGGCUUAGGUAUAAUUUUUUGCGAAACAGUCAGUUAAAAAUCGGAAUCCACUUCUUCAAUAAGAAAGCCCACUAGAUUCCUCAUCCAAACCUAAAUUGGGCUGUUAUACAUGUGUUGUGAAAUUUUACAGUUCAUUUGUUGUUGUCCUUGAUCUCUUAUAUUUCUUGCGGGAGGAGUGGAGUCUGUAGAACAGAGUUCCAUUCCUUCUGGUCAGUAAAAAAGUGUAUUUUAUUUAUAUUUUGCAAAUAUUCUAUUUACAAUUCUAUCAGUUAUAUUCUUAAAAAAAUUUCUCCCACGACCACAAAUUUCUAGGUCCGUCCUGUAUCUAUGUAUAUAUUGAAGCCUGGUUUAUUUUACUAUUGCUUCACAGAUUUUUUUCAAGGUGAACAAUGUACUUUGUUGCCAUUGAUUCUUCUUAGCAACUUAAGCUAGCAAGCGAGUUUUUUCGCUUGUGAAAGCAUAAUAUGUGCUACUCCGUAUCCUCGCACUAAACACCCCGCACCCACACUCAUGCUUUCUAACGGAUGAUAAAUUGAUAUGUCUGCAGAAUAUGCACACUACUGUACUUUGAUCAAGAGAUCUUUACUCCUUCAUGACUUCCACCAACAUUGAAAUGAAAUUUAACUAAUCAGCUUGUAUAUAAAUGAUAUACAGCAAGAAGCUAUAAAGUUUCAGGUCCAAUCAAUCCGUUAAAUCUCAGACCUGGAGUCUGGGUGUAAGCAGACAAGACUAACAUGCAUGUAUUAAGCAUAAAAUAUUUCUUUCAAAUUAUUGUAGAAACAUUUCAUGUUAUGUGCCUAAAGAUUGAUAUAUAUGCGAAAAUUUUAAAGAAAUUUAUGAAUUCUCCGGUGCACAAGUUUAAGGUAUUGUGUAAAUCGGUAUAUUUGUAUACAAUCUACUAAUUAUUACAGACAAGCAUACUAGUUGUCGGAUGAUUAUACAGACAAAAAAUUGAAUAAUAUGCACUAAAAGAAUUGUCUAACUCGACUAUUCUGAGAGCUAUGAUAUGAAAAAAUUAGCUAAUUAUUGUUUGUUUCCAGCAGAAACUACUCCUUCAUUGCCUGCCAAGAUCAUGUACUUGUCCUUCCUUGUUAGCAUCGUGCAUUCGAAUCCUAAGGCCUUGCCAAGCUCACUCUGCACCUUAUUGGCCACAUCAAACCUUGAGCUUUUGUCGUCGUUGCUUGAAACGCCACAAAUUUUUCCAAGUACUUGCAGUGUGUAGCUUGGAGUAGGGUUCAUAAGGAAGAAAAUUGGAUCCAAGAACUUCAAUCCACUAGAUGUUGUACCAUGAAACAUGCUCACUUCCGUGUCUACGCCAACAGGGACGAUAUCAUCAGUCAGUUCUGUGAACAAAGGACUGAGCCUUAGCAAGUAAGGUUCUCUGCAAGUAGUUCCUUCAGGGCAAACAACCAAAUCCCCUUGAUUCAAUAAUCUAUCCAUCAUUUCUCUGUCUUUGUCUCUGUUUCUCGUUAAUCGGACUGUUCUGAUUGGUGAUAAAAUUUCAGACAUUCUGCUGAGGCUGUAUGUUACUGCAGCCAAAGGUUUCACGAGUCCGAAUGAGAGAAUUAGAGGGUCCAGUAAUGUUCUGUGGUUGCAUACAUAUAGAGAACCUUUGGUUUUUGACUGUGUUUUUGGCCUUUGGACGGGUUCGAAAACCUUGAGCUUAAUUCCUGAGAAGGUUAACAGAGGAGUGGAGAUACUGUAUGGUAAAGAAAUGGCAAUAAGGAUUCGGAUUAUGGCAAUUAUUGUUCCGAGAGGGAGCCAAACAAACAUGACAAGCAUGGAAAGUGGAGUUGGCCUAAAAGCUAAUCGACCAUCGUGAAAAAUGAGAGGUUUCAGAUAAUUUUCCUUGCUAAGUGACUUCCAUUUUAGCUUCUCUGCUUCAUUUACCAUGAAAAACUCCUUGCAAUGAGAGAAUCCUCUAUGAGCAACGGAUGUGUUGAGGCUAUCGAGUCCGAUUACAUCCUCAGAUACAUUCUCAUCCUUGAAUAGAUCCACCAAUAUGCUGUUACUCCUAUCCUCCAUUAGGCCAACAUAAUAUCCACAAACAACUUUUAGCUCUCUUCCGUUGACAGAUUCGAUCUCCAAGUAAUCACUUAAGAAGCUCUCAACCAUGACUUGAGGCAAAUUAGUGACUGCAAUUUUCCUUUUGGCUUUUUGCAACACCGCAAACACUUCAUCACCAACAUCCUCAAGAAAAUACUUUGGCAGAACUGAACUUCCUACUCGAAAACUCUUUUUUUUCAUCCCGAAAAAUGAAAUCAUGACCAUAACAUCAAUCGAAUGUUCAUAACUAAGUAGGCUGAUAAUAGGGUAUAAAAUUAAAAGAAUGAGGGCCCUUAUGAGGCUACCGGCUUCAAAGGCAACUAACAUGAAGUAUGGAAAAAGAGAUGAAGAUUUCAGCAAAGAGCCCUCUACAUUAAACACUACAGUUGUGUUUUCAGAAGGCUCAACUCUUUCUGAAAGAGAUAAUUGGCUCUUUACUUUAUGUUGGGAAUUGAAUGAAUUUGCAGUACUUAGGCUUCUCUGCAGACCCUUUUGGUUUCUAUAGUAUUUUCUAAGGAGACGAGAGAUUAGGAGGACGAAUCCUGAAAAAGAUGGGGUUUUUGAGAAGGCCAUGUUUGAUCUGAAGAUUUAGAAGAAUGUGUUUGAUAUUUGAUGCUAAAAAGUGAUGCUAUGAGGUGUGUUUAUAUAGUGUUAGUAUACAGAAGAAUCCUCACUGUCACUUGGAAUGCAACUUCACAAGUAUGGAUUGACUUGGCAACUCAAAAGCGAUUGGUCAAAGAAAAGCGUAGUGAGAACAAGGUGGCUCGAAACAGCAAGGAUGGUGCUGGAAUGGUUCAAGCCAUAAAAUGCAGGUAGAUAAGAUGGGACUUAUCUUCUAUCCUCCUUAAAUGCUAAAUAACAACUUGCAUGCAGUGCUCUCUUUUUUCCUAAUGGUUCUUGCAUGAAGUGUUUAUAUGUUCACAGAAUUGUCAAAUUUCAUACAGCUGCCUAUGAGCUUCUGCCUCAAGGUGUUGGGGCAUAAACUUUGCUUCAGGUUGCCCAGAGUCCAAUCCGAGUCCUGAACUCUUAUAUCAUGUUAAGUAACUAGUUAUCCCAAAAAUUUAAUUGUUAAGGAGGAGGCUUACCAGAAUCUUAUUAACCGACAGUUUCAGUUUUUAUGGAAUGUGGUUUCAGUUUUGCAUUAGCUGAAAUCAGCUAUAAUCAACUAACAUGGCUUAUUUUUAUCAACCAGUUUUAUCGAACACGGUUUCGGAUUUGUCUGUUGAUUAUGGGUUUAGAAAGAAAGUGAAGAACAAUAUAGUUGGUUCAAUUCUUGUCCAAUUUACUGUUAUAUAGGAGUAUUAAUUCGCCAGGAGUCAACGAGUCAAAGUAAGUUGCUAACCUUAAUACUCAACCGAAAGCAUAAGUUUCUUAAGACUAGCAGAUGAUCUGUACUAAUCAGUUUUUAUGAAUGUGGGAUUCUACUAAGGAGUUUACGUAUAAACAUCAAGAUUAGGUUCCGAAGGCUUUCCGGGUGCAAGGACAUAUUUAUUUCUCAAUAAGAAAGGUUUGACCUUUCAUAAUUAAAAACACGCAAAAUACAAGUGAGAAUUGAAACCUAAUAAUAUUUUGUGUUGGGCCUGGGGCGGCCAUCUCAUAAAUUAUUAAAUUUUAACGUAACUAGAAGCACUAUUGGCAUGUUCUUGGUGAGUAGAUAACCGCCAAAUUAAAUCAAAGUGGUUUCUUGAAUUACGUAUCUAGAGUUUAAAAAAUCUUUUAGAAAUUAUAUUAUUUUUGUCAAAAGAAAUAGUGUACUUAAUAUAUUAUAAAGCUUCUCGUUUGGUGGUGACAAUUUAAAUAAAACAUGUUUUGAGCGAAAAUUUAGUAAUAUUCUCUUUAAUAUCAUUAAAUAAUUAAAUUUUAUCAAUCAUCAAGUAUAAUCAUAUCAUUAGCUUCUCUUUGCAUAAUUUCAUGUAUAAUAAUAACUCAUUUCAGGUAAAAUAUAGUAGAUUUGUUUGCAACUGGAAAACGAAUUAUAUAUUUACAAUCUUUUUGAAAAAAUAUAUUAAAUAAACUUUUAAAUCAUAUAAACAGAUUUAAAAUUAUUGAGAUGUAUUCACACUUCAUUACAAAAUUUUGAACAUUUAUAUCUUACUAAUUUUAACUCGAGUUUACAUGAUUUAAUAUUCCAUAAAUUAUUUUGUAAAAGUUUUAUAUAUACAAUUUGUAAAAUUCAAUUUAUACAUUUUGUGUAACAUAAAAAUAUUAUAUGCUAAGACCAAAUACAAGGAUAUACACAUAUAUUAUCAAAAAUAUGAAAAUGAAACAUAAAAUCCAAUUAUAUAGUGGUAUUAUAGAAGAAUAUUUUAAUUAUUUAUUUGCUAUUGAAAAUGUAUGUUUAAGAUUCCAUUGAUAUGUAUACUUAUUAUUUAUAGAUAUAUAAAUGUUCUUAUUUUUUAUUAAUAAUUAUAUACAAGUCCGGUUCUUUCGUGUUUACUAAUUAAAUGAAAGUCUAUUGUCUUUAAAAAUAUUUUAUUUGUUAUUAAGAAGAAUAUUGUAUACUAAAAAAUAUUUCCUCAAUUAUCAUAUAUUAUAUAAAUAUAUUAUAAGUUAUCUUGUACUAUAAUGAAAAUUAAUUGUAAUAUUAGUUUAAGUUUUUUGUUUUUAUUAUAAAUGAGUAUUUAUUUGAAUUGAUGCACAAAAUAUUAGAACAAAUUAAGCAAAUAUCACUGAGUUGGCUCAAUUUAUAGAAAACACAUUACUUUUUUGGAGUCGUAAAUUUUUCAUGUAUUUUCUAUAAUUUUUAUUUAUAUAAUACCAUUAUAAAUUAUACCCCUUUUUUGGAGUAGUAAAUUUUUCAUGUAUUCUCUAUAAUUUUUAUUUAUAUUAUACCAUUAUAAAUUAUACCCCAUCAAACCUUAAGCUUUUAUGUAUGGUGUUCCUUUUAUGUAUGGUGUUGCUGAUAUUGUGGGCUAGUAGCAAUGGCUUGAUGGCUCUAAUGCAAUUCAUUCAAAAAUGAGGGAUUUAAAGGUCUUGGCCUUACUAGAGGUGUAACAAUUGAGCACGGAAUGCAUGAGUAAUAUUCGAGGUGCAGCAGAUGUUUUUUCUUGGAUCUCACCUGUUCUUCAUAACGAACAAUAAUGGGAAAUGACAUUCAAUUAAGUAAUAAUCGACAUGGUUCACUAAUGUUAUUGAUCUUACAGGCUACAGCGAGCAAGAAGCUUUCAAAUCUCUCUCCCUGAGGUCUGGGCGUGGAAGCCGACUGUUGAAAUAUAGCAUGAGAUAUAAUCGAGCUCUUCCUCAUAAGGUUAGAUGGACUUGUUCUCAAUAUGGUAUGAGAGGCAUAUUUGGCGGUGGUUUAAAGUUCAAGUGAUGGUAGUGUUGAAAUUUAGCAAAAGAUCCAUUUGGCAUUCUUCUAACAACUUAAGGUGGGUUCUUAACACCCCGACAGAUUUAAACAUGCAUGCAUUGAAUAAAAGAUAAUUUCAAUAUCUAAGCUUAAUGUACUUCAAUCUAUUAGUUUUAAUCAACUGGUUUUGAAUCUUUUGAUAUAGCAAAAAGGGUCUUUCUAGUGUGUGCCCAAGGGCACACAUUAAGCACUAAAUUUGAUGAGUUUAGUAGAUUUUAAUUGGUGGAGUUGAUGUAAAUGCAGAGGGGCCAUCCAUAUUUAUGAUUACAUGACCAAUAAGAAUGCACCAAACUCAUAAAAAUUAGUGUUUAGUGUGUGCCCUGAAAAACCGUAGCAAAAAUUAACUCAAAUAUAUGUAUUUGUAUAAACAUCUUCGGUGCUAUGGAUGUACAAGAAUAUAUAUAUAGCUUGCUGAGACAAAUCAGUACAAUGACAUAGUUUUAAGUGUCUGUUAAUGAUGAAUUUAAUACGGCCUUUAACCAGACAUGUACUUUCAAAUUUUAUGAAAGGGGAAGUUUCUUAUUUAGCGUUCAUAUUGUUCGUUUAAACUUUUUAAAAUUUGAACACAUAAACAAAAAUGUGUGAAUCAUUAUUUCAAAAAAAAAAAAAUGUCUGAAUCUUGGCUGAAUGGUUUGCGGAGCCAUAUUGAUACAUACAAACUAGGUAUAUGCAUUUUUUGAUUAUGUCUGUUAAUUUUAAUUCUUUUAAAAUUAUUUAAUGUUAAAUUUAAAUUUAAAUUUAUUAACAAAUAUUUAAUAAUCAAUAUACUUAUAUAAAGGAGAAGCGAGGGGCGUGUAGGUGGGGCCUCUUACAUCGCUCCGUUCUAUUUUUCUAAUUUUUUAGAAUUUUUGGAUGAACAAUAUCAAAAAUUAGAACUACCUUUUUUAGUUUGGGAUAUAUUAGAAGCAAUAUUCAGAAUCUGAUUUUGUUUCAAAUUAUUUAUGGAAUACUACCUUUUUUAUUUUCAGAUAUAUUAGAAGCAAGUUUCAGAAUCUGAUUUUGUUUCAUAUUAUUUAUGGAAAUUAGUAGCUUUAAAGUUUUAAUUUGAUUUUGUUUCAGAUUAUUUAAUUAUGGGACAAUAUACUUAUAUAAAGGAGAAGCGAGGGGCGUGUAGGUGGCGCCUCUCACAUCGGUCCGUUCUAUUUUUCAAAUUUUCUGAUAUUUUUGGAUGAAAAAUAUCAAAAAUUAGAACUAUCUUUUUUAGUGGUUUCAGAUUAUUUAAUUAUGAGAAAGAGUAGCACACAAGUCUCUCUGCAUCUAUAAAUAGUCCUAUAAGUUGUAGGGUUUUAGAUCAUCUAAACACAACCUCUUCUCUCUCAAUACCACAACUUUACCUCUCUCUAGUGACAGUUCUCUUGCUCGAUUUCUAAUUCGGUGGUGCCGUUCUUAGUGAAGGCUGUUUAUACAGUAUUAAAAAAAAAUAAAGAUUGUUGCAAGCAAAGGUAGUUAUAGACCGCUAUGUGAGAGUCGACAAAUCCAAACACGGGAGAAGAAUAUAGUCUUAACAUGAUAUUGAUGGAUGAUAUCAAUAAUUAAUUAUUAGCGAUGUAUGUUUGUUGGUUAUUCUUUUAUAAUAUAUGUUUUGUUUAUUGGACAUGUUUGUUGUUGUUAAUUUUUAUAUGAUUUAAUUUGUAUACAAGAAAAUAUUAUUCAUGCAUUAUAGACCGCUAUACAAGGAAAAUCAAUAUCAAUAUACUUAUAUAAAGGAGAAGUGAGGGGCGUGGAGGUGGCGCCUCUCACAUCGCUCCGUUCUAUUUUUCUAAUUUUUCGGAAUUUUUGGAUGGAAAAUAUCAAAAUUGCUCCGUUAUAUAGUAUAAGUCGAUUUCUAACUCGGAGGUNNNNNNNNNNNNNNNNNNNNNNNNNNNNNNNNNNNNNNNNNNNNNNNNNNNNNNNNNNNNNNNNNNNNNNNNNNNNNNNNNNNNNNNNNNNNNNNNNNNNNNNNNNNNNNNNNNNNNNNNNNNNNNNNNNNNNNNNNNNNNNNNNNNNNNNNNNNNNNNNNNNNNNNNNNNNNNNNNNNNNNNNNNNNNNNNNNNNNNNNNNNNNNNNNNNNNNNNNNNNNNNNNNNNNNNNNNNNNNNNNNNNNNNNNNNNNNNNNNNNNNNNNNNNNNNNNNNNNNNNNNNNNNNNNNNNNNNNNNNNNNNNNNNNNNNNNNNNNNNNNNNNNNNNNNNNNNNNNNNNNNNNNNNNNNNNNNNNNNNNNNNNNNNNNNNNNNNNNNNNNNNNNNNNNNNNNNNNNNNNNNNNNNNNNNNNNNNNNNNNNNNNNNNNNNNNNNNNNNNNNNNNNNNNNNNNNNNNNNNNNNNNNNNNNNNNNNNNNNNNNNNNNNNNNNNNNNNNNNNNNNNNNNNNNNNNNNNNNNNNNNNNNNNNNNNNNNNNNNNNNNNNNNNNNNNNNNNNNNNNNNNNNNNNNNNNNNNNNNNNNNNNNNNNNNNNNNNNNNNNNNNNNNNNNNNNNNNNNNNNNNNNNNNNNNNNNNNNNNNNNNNNNNNNNNNNNNNNNNNNNNNNNNNNNNNNNNNNNNNNNNNNNNNNNNNNNNNNNNNNNNNNNNNNNNNNNNNNNNNNNNNNNNNNNNNNNNNNNNNAUGGAAUAUAAUAACUUGAAAGUUUUAAUCUGAUUUUGUUUCUGAUUAUUUAAUUAUGGGGAAGACAAAUUAUUUAUGGAUAUAAUAGCUUGAAAGUUAGACAAAUUAUUUAUGGAAUAUAAUAGCUUGAAAGUUUUAAUCUGAUUUUGUUUCAGAUUAUUUAAUUAUGGGAAAGAGUAGAACACAAGUCUCUCUGCACCUAUAAAUACCCCUAUAGAUGGUAGGGUUUUGGAUCAUCUAAACACAACCUCCUCUCUUUCAAUACCACAACCCUACCUCUCUCUGAUGAUAGUUCUCUUGCUCGAUUUCUAACUUGGCGGUGCCGUUCUUCUGCAACGAUACGUGAAGGCUGUUUAUACAGUAUUAAAAAAAUAAAGGUGGUUACAAGUAAAGGUAGUUAUAGACCGCUAUGUGGGAGUCGACAAAUCCAAACACGAGAAAAUAAUAUAGUCUUGACAUGAUAUUGAUGGAUGAUAUCAAUAAAUUAACUAUUGGUAUUGUAUGUUUGUUGGUUAUUCUUUUAUAAUAUUUGUUUUGUUCAUCGGACAUGUUUGUUGUUGUUAAUUUUUAUAUGAUUUACUUUGUAUACAUGAAAAAAUUACUCCUGCAUAAUCUGUUUGCUCCGUUCAAGCAACUUUUAAGUAACGCUGUUUAUACAGUAUUAAAAAAUAAAGGUUGUUACGCAAUUUUAUAUAUUAGUAUGGUAUUACAUCAAGAUUUUUAUAAUAUAAAAUUUAAUUUAUCUUACAAAUAUUAAUUUUGAAUCAUUAAUAUACUUUUUAUAGACAGCUAUAAAAUUAUUGCAUUUUACAAAUAUUAAUAUUGAAUCAUUAAUAUAACUUUUAUAAGCCGCCGCAACGCGCGAUUUCUCAACUAGUAUAUAUAUAAAGGAGAAGCGAGGGGCGUGUAGGUGGCGCCUCUCACAUCGCUCCGUUCUAUUUUUCUAAUUUUUUGGAAUUUUUAGAUGAAAAAUAUCAAAAAUUAUCACUACCUUUUUUAGUUUUGGGUAUAUUAGAAGCAAGUUUCAGAAUCUGAUUUUGUUUCAGAUUAUUUAUGGAAUACAGUAGUUUGAAAGUUUUAAUCUGAUUUUGUUUCAGAUUAUUUAAUUAUGGGAAAUAUAGUAGUUUGAAAGUUUUAAUCUGAUUUUGUUUCAGAUUAUUUAAUUAUGGGAAAGAGUAGCACACAAGUCUAAAUACAACCUCCUCUCUCCCAAUACCACAACACCAGAUAGUUCUUUUGCUCGAUUUCUAACUCUGUGGUGCCGUUCUUCUACAACGACAAGUGAAGGUUGUUUAUACAAUAUUAAAAAAAAAAACGGUUGUUGAAAGCAAAGGUAGUUAUAGACCAAUACGUUGGAGUCGACAAAUCCAAACAUUGCAAAAGAAUAUAAUCUUGACAUAAUAUUACUUUUAAGUGAAGCCUGUGUAUGUACUCUAUUAAAAAAUAGAGGUUGUUACAAGCAAGGAUAGUUAUAGACUGCUAUCUCACGGAUUUGAGUUAGAUAUUUUUGUGCACAAUCAAUCCAAAAAAAUCGGGGGAGGUGAAAAUAUAAGAACAUGAUUACUUUAAAAAAAACACAAAUAAAAUUAAGAUUCAUUGUGAUUUAAAUUAUUAAUUAUGUGAAUAAAUNNNNNNNNNNNNNNNNNNNNNNNNNNNNNNNNNNNNNNNNNNNNNNNNNNNNNNNNNNNNNNNNNNNNNNNNNNNNNNNNNNNNNNNNNNNNNNNNNNNNNNNNNNNNNNNNNNNNNNNNNNNNNNNGUAUAUAAAUUUAUUUUCAUUUUUCACCAUGAAUUAUAGUCCAAUUUUGCAAUUUUAUAUAUUAGUAUUGGUAUUACAUCAAGAUUUUUAUAAUAUAAAAUUUAUUUUAUCCUACAAAUAUUAAUUUUGAAACAUUAAUAAUAGACAGCCACAAAAUUAUUUUAUUUAUAAAUAUUAAUAUUGAAUCAUUAAUAUAAUUUUUAUAGGUCGCCGCAACGCGCGGCUUAUCAACUAGUAUAAUAUAAUAUAAUUUAUAUCAUUAAUCUUCUAUAGAUGUAUAAAAGUAUUUCAUAAUAUUAUUUUGUAUUAUAAAUUCUUGUUGAACAAUUAAAAUAUUCUAUUAUUAAAAAUUCAAUAAUUUUGAAUUAUAUUCUUACAAAAAUUUAGCAUAUAAUCGAUUUUAAAUUUAAAAAAUAAAUCACAAUUUAAUUAUUCAGAAUAUUAUUCAUCCGAGAUUCUAAUUGUUUAGAUAAUAUGAUUCAGGUUUAACAAAUGAGUCUUAUUGAAUAUAAAUAUGAUAUACAUUUUAAAAAUUUUUAAUGUACGUGUUAAUUAAAUUUAUAUUCAUAUAGUAUUCUAUGUGACAUCAGAUAUAUUUUAGUGUUAUAAUAAUCGAAUAUAAGUAUAAUUUAAAAUAUAUUCACCGUAAUGUUUGGUUAUUUUUUAAUUAAAAUUUUGGAUUUUUUUAAUCAAAAUUAUGAAAAUCGUUAACACAUUAUUAAAUUUCUUUAUUCUCCUUUUUAUUUUUCUUUUUGCUACCUUUUUGCUACCGAGUAAAAUUUAUUGGUUCCAGUUGAGUAAAAUUUCUUUAUUCUCCUUUUACUUAGUAAUAAAAUUUAAUAUUUUUUAUAUGAAUUAUUUUGUUAAAUUUAAAUGAAUGUCUGAAUUCUGAUAACGUAGAAGAUUGCAUGAAAAGAGGGUAAACUGCAUCGAAGGCAGAGUUGACUUAGCGCACAAAAGAUUAAGCAUACACACAUGACAAAGAUAAUAAACGAGGGACAGAACAGUAAUCUGUGAUUACUGCGCAAAGUAAAAAUUCACUGCAUUUAGCAAUCAUGAUAAUUAAUAUUUUGUGUUGGGGCCUUGGGGGCGGCCAUCUCAUAAAUUUUAACGUAACUGGAAGCACUGUUGGAAUGUUCUUGGUAAGCAGAUAACCGCCAGAUUAAAUCAAGCUGGUUUCUUGAAUUGCAACACGUAUUUAGAGUUUAAAAAAUCUUUUAAAGAUUAUAUUAUUUUUGUCAAAAGAAAUAGUGCACUUAAUAUAUUAUAAUGAAAAUUAGUUAUAAUAUUAAUUUAAUUUUUUAUUUUUAUUAUAAAUGAGGAUGCACAAAAUAUUAUAUAAAAAGUCUCUAGAUAACAAAUUAAGCAAAUAUGACCGAAUUGACUGAAUUUAUAGACAACAGAUUUCUCAUUUCAAGUGGUAAAUUUUUCAUGUAUUCCUUAUAAUUUUUAUUUGUAUUAUACCAUUAUCUACUNUCUUUAUUCUCCUUUUUAUUUUUCUUUUUGCUACCUUUUUGCUACCGAGUAAAAUUUAUUGGUUCCAGUUGAGUAAAAUUUCUUUAUUCUCCUUUUACUUAGUAAUAAAAUUUAAUAUUUUUUAUAUGAAUUAUUUUGUUAAAUUUAAAUGAAUGUCUGAAUUCUGAUAACGUAGAAGAUUGCAUGAAAAGAGGGUAAACUGCAUCGAAGGCAGAGUUGACUUAGCGCACAAAAGAUUAAGCAUACACACAUGACAAAGAUAAUAAACGAGGGACAGAACAGUAAUCUGUGAUUACUGCGCAAAGUAAAAAUUCACUGCAUUUAGCAAUCAUGAUAAUUAAUAUUUUGUGUUGGGGCCUUGGGGGCGGCCAUCUCAUAAAUUUUAACGUAACUGGAAGCACUGUUGGAAUGUUCUUGGUAAGCAGAUAACCGCCAGAUUAAAUCAAGCUGGUUUCUUGAAUUGCAACACGUAUUUAGAGUUUAAAAAAUCUUUUAAAGAUUAUAUUAUUUUUGUCAAAAGAAAUAGUGCACUUAAUAUAUUAUAAUGAAAAUUAGUUAUAAUAUUAAUUUAAUUUUUUAUUUUUAUUAUAAAUGAGGAUGCACAAAAUAUUAUAUAAAAAGUCUCUAGAUAACAAAUUAAGCAAAUAUGACCGAAUUGACUGAAUUUAUAGACAACAGAUUUCUCAUUUCAAGUGGUAAAUUUUUCAUGUAUUCCUUAUAAUUUUUAUUUGUAUUAUACCAUUAUCUACUCCCUCCAUUUUGAAAUAUAGGUCGCUUAGACUUUUUUGCACGUAUUUUUAAAUCUUUUGACCGCAUGCUUAAAAUCAUGAUUUUUGAAAUUUUCUUUUUUUGAAUAAUAAUAUCAAUCAUAUAUUUUUAUUAAAAAAAAAUUCAAAAAUAAAGAUAUUUAGCAUGCGGUCAGAAGACUUAGAAACGCAUGCAAAAAAGUCAAACGACUUAUAUUUCAAAACAGAGGGAGUAUAAAUUAUACCCGAUCAAACCUUAAGCUUUUAUGUAUGGUGGAUUGAGGCCGGAUCAGUACUCUAGUAUAUAUUGUUGUUGAUAUUCAAGCUGUGGGCUAGUAGCAAUGGCUUGAUGGCUAAUGCAAUUCAUUCAAAAAUGAGGGAUUUAAAGGUCUUGGCCUUACUAGAGGUGUAACAUUGAACACGGAAUGCAUGAUAAAUAGGUGCACCAGAUGUUUUUGCUUGGAUCACACCUGUUCUUCAUAACGAAAACAAUAAUGUGAAAUAACAUUCAAUUAAGUACUAAUCGACAUGGCUCAUUAAUUUUAUUGAUCUUACAGGCUACAGCCAGCAAGAAGCUUUCAAAUCUCUCUACCUGAGGUCUGGGUGUGGAAGCCGACUGUUGAAAUAUUCGAGCUAUAUAUUCCUCUAACACCUUAAGUUUUUAGAUGGACUAGUUCUCAAUAUGGUAUCAAAGGCAUAUUUGGCGGAGGUUUAAAGUUCAAGUGAUGGUAGUGAUGAAAUUUAGCAAAAGAUCCAUUUGGCCUUCUUCUAACAGCUUCAGGUUGGUUCUCAACACCCCGACAGAUUUAAACAUGCAUGCAUUGAACAAAAGAUGAUUUCAUUAUCUAAGCUUAAUAUACUUCAAUCUCGUAGUUUUAAUCAACUGGUUUUGAUAUAGCAAAAACUAACUCGAAUAUAUGUAUUUGUAUAAACAUCUGCGGUGCAAGGGAUGUACAAGAAUAUAUAUAGCUUGCUGAGACAAAUCACACUACUUGUCAUUUGUCAGAUAUAUAGAACAAAAUUGUUAAUUAUUGUUUGUUUCCAGCAGAAACUACUCCUUCAUUGCCAGCCAAGAUCAUGUACUUGUCCUUCCUUGUUAGCAUUGUGCAUUCAAAUCCCAAGGCCUUGCCAAGCUCACUCUGCACCUUAUUUGCCACAUCAAACCUUGAGCUUUUGUCGUUGUUGCUUGAAACACCACAAAUUUUAUCAAGUACUUGCAGAGUGUAGCUGGGAGUAGGGUUCAUGAGAAAGAAAAUCGGAUCCAAGAACUUUAAUCCACUAGCAGUUGUGCCAUGAAACAUGCUCACUUUUGUGUCUACGCCAACAGGGACGAUAUCAUCAGUCAGUUCUGUGAAAAGAGGACUUAGCCUUAGCAAGUAAGGUUCUCUACAAGUAGUUCCUUCAGGGCAAACAACCAAAUCCCCUUGAUUCAAUAACUUAUCCAUCAUUGCUCUGUCUUUGUCUCUGUUUCUCGUUAACCGGACUGUUCUAAUUGGUGAUAAAAACUCUGACAUUCGGCUUAGGCUGUAUGUUACUGCAGCCAAAGGUUUCAUGAGUCCGAAUGAGAGAAUUAGGGGGUCCAGUAAUGUUCUGUGGUUGCAUACAUAUAGUGAACCUUUUGUUUUUGACUGUGUUUUUGGCCUUUGGACAGGUUCGAAAACCUUGAGUUUAAUUCCUGAGAAAGUUAACAGAGGAGUGGAGAUAGAGUAUGGUAAAGAAAUGGCAAUAAUGAUUCGGAUGAUGGCAAUUAUUGUUCCAAGAGGGAGCCAAACAAACAUGACAAGCAUGGCAAGUGGAGUUGGCCUGAAAGCUAAUCGACCAUCGUGGAAAAUAAGAGGUUUCGGAUAUUGCUCCUUGCUAAGUGAAUUCCAUUUUAGCUUCUCUGCUUCAUUUACCAUGAAAACCUCCUUGCAAUGAGAGAAACAAGUAUGAGCAAAGGAUGUGUUGAGGCUAUCGAGGCCGAUUACAUUUUCAGAUGCAUUCUCAUCUUCGAAUAGACCAUCCAAAAUGCUGUGACUCCCAUCUUCCAUUAGGCCAACGUAAUAUCCACAAACAACUUUUAACUCCCUUCCGUUGACAGAAUUGAUCUCCAAGUAAUCACUUAAGAAGCUCUCAACCAUGACUUGAGGCAAAUUAGUGACUGCAACUUUCCUUUUGGCUUUUUGCAACACCGCAAACACUUCAGCACCAACAUCCUCUAGAAAAUACUUAGGCAGAACAGAACUUCCUACUCGGAAACUCUUUUUCUUGAUUCCGAAAAAUGAAAUCAUGACCAUUAUGUUUAUGGAAUGUUCAUAACUAAGUAGGCUAAUGAUAGGGUAUAAAAUUAAUAGAAUGAGGGCCCUUAUGAGGCUACCGGCUUCAAAUGCAACUAACAUGAAGUAUGGAAAAAGAGAUGAAGAUUUCAGCAAAGAGCCCUCUACAUUAAACACUACAGUUGUGCUUUCAGAAGGCUCAACUCUUUCUGAAAGAGAUAAUUGGCUCUUUACUUUAUGUUGGGAAUUGAAUGAAUUUGCAUUACUUAGGCUUCUCUGCAGACCCUUUUGGUUUCUGUAGUAUUUUCUAAGGAGACGAGAGAUAAGGAGGACGAAUCCUGAAAAUGAAGGGGAUUUCGAGAAUACCAUGUUUGGUUUAAAGAUUUAUAAAAAUUGUGUUUGAUAUCUGAUGCUAAGAAGUGAUGCUAUGAGGUGUGUUUAUAUAGUGCUAGUAUACAGAAGAGUCCUCACUGUCACUUAGAAUGACAACUUCAAAAGUGUGGAUUGACUUGGCUACUCAAAAGCGAUUGUUCAAAGAAAAGCGUAGUGAGAACAAGGUGGCUCGAAACUGCAAGGAUCGUGCUGGAACGGGUCAAGCCAUAAAAUGCAGGUAUAAGAUGGGACUUAUCUUCUAUCAUCCUUAAAUGCAAAAUAACAACUUGCAUGCAGUGUGUUUUCUUUCCUAAUGGUACUUGCAUGCAGUGUUUAUAUGUUUACAGAAUUGGCAAUUUUCAUACAGCUGCCUAAGAGCUUCUACCUCAAGGUGGUGGGGCAAAACUUUGCAUUCAGGUUGCAGGGAAUCGAAUCCGAGUCUCUUAUGAGUCUGAGAUGUGGUAUCAUAUUAAGUGAAUAGUUGUCCCAAAACCUCAAUUGUUAAGGAGAACUUACCAGAAUCUUAUUAACCGACAGUUUCAAUUUUUAUCGAAUGUAGCUUCGGUUUUGCAUCAGCUGGAAUCAGCUAUGAUCAACUAACGUGAUUCAGUUUUAUCCAACACGGUUUUGGUUUUGUCUUUGUCAAGUGAAUCUGAGUUUAGAAAGAAGGUGAAGAACAAUACAGUUGGCUCAAUUCUUGUCCAAUUGACUGUUAUAAAUUAGAUCGCCAGGAGUCAACGAGUCAUCGUAAGUUGCUAACCUUAAUACUCAGCAGAAAGCAUAAUUUUCUUAAGACUAGCACAUGAUCUGUACUAAUCAGUUUUAAUGUAUGUGGGCUUGUAUGAAUGAAUUUAGGUAUAAACAUCUGGAUUAGGUUCCCAUGGCUUUCCUUGUGCAAGGACAUUUCAUAAUUAAAAACACGCUAAAUACAAGUGAGAAUUGAAAAGGCGCGUAAUAAUGGCCAUCUCAUAAAUUUUAACGUAACUAGAAGAAGUGCUGUUGGCAUGUUCUUGGUGAGCAGAUAACCACCAAAUUAAAUCAAGCUGGUUUUUUGAAUUGCAACACUAUUUAGAGUUUAUUUAUUUGAGUUGAUGCACAAAACAUUAUAUAAAAAUUCUCUAGAGAACAAAUUAAGCAAAUAUGGCUGAGUUGGCUUAAAUUCAUAGAGAGCAGAUUUCUUGUUUCGAGUGGUAAAUUUUUCACGUAUUUUCUAUAAAUUUUAUUUAUAUUAUACCAUUAUCUAUAAAUUAUACCCCAUCGAAACUAAAGCUUUUAUUAUGACAAAUAAAAAAAAAAACUUAAGCUUUUAUGGUGGUUUGACGCCCGGUCAGUGCUCUAGUAUUGUUGCUGAUAUUCAAGCUGUGGGCUAGUAGCAAUGGCUUGAUGGCUCUUGCAAAUCAUUCAAAAAUGAGGGAUUUAAAGGUCUUGGCCUUACUAGAGGUGUAAAAGAAUUGAACACAGAAUGCAUGAGUAAUAUUUCAGGUGCAGCAGAUGACAUUCAAUUAACUACUGAUUGACAUGGUUCAUUAAUGUUAUUGAUCUUACAGGCUACAGCCAGCAAGAAGCUUUCAAAUCUCUCGGCUGACGUCUGGGUGGAAGCCGACUGUUGAAAUAUAGCAUGAGAUCUAUUGGGGCUCUUCCUCUAUCACCUUAAGGUUUUAGAUGGAAUAGUUCUCGACAUGAUAUCCGAGGCAUUUUGGCCGAGGUUUAAAUUCAAGUGAGGGGAGUGUUGGAAUUUAUCAUAAGAUUCAUUUGGCCUUCUUCUAACAGCUUAAGGUCGGCUCUCAACACCCCGACAGAUUUCAACAUGCAUGCAUUGAACAAAAGAUUAUUUCAAUAUCUAAGCUUAAUGUACUUCAAUCUAUUAUCUUAAUCAACUGGUUUUGAUAUAGCAAAAAUUAACUCGAAUAUAUGUAUUUGUAUAAACAUCUGCGGUGCAAGGAAUGUACAAGAAUAUAUAUAGCUUGCUAAGAUAUAGAACAAAAAAUGUUAAUUAUUGUUUGUUUCCGGCAGAAACUACUCCUUCAUUGCCAGCCAAGAUCAUGUACUUGUCCUUCCUUGUUAGCAUCGUGCAUUCGAAUCCUAAGGCCUUGCCAAGCUCACUUUGCACCUGAUUCGCCACAUCAAACCUUGAGCUUUUAUCAUCAUUGCUUGAAACACCGCAGAUUUUAUCAAGUACUUGCAGUGUGUAGCUUGGAGUUGGAUUCAUGAGGAAGAAAAUUGGAUCCAAGAACUUCAAUCCACUAGCUGUUGUACCAUGAAACAUACUAACACUUGUAUCUACGCCAACAGGGACGAUAUCAUCAGUCAAUUCUGUGAACAAAGGACUCAGCCUUAGCAAGUAAGGUUCUCUACAAGUAGUUCCCUCAGGGCAAACAACCAAAUCCCCUUGAUUCAAUAACUUAUCCAUCAUUUCCCUGUCCUUGUCUCUGUUUCUCGUUAAUCGCACAGUUCUGAUUGGUGAUAAA